RNAcentral lists this ribosomal RNA (1388 nucleotides) under Pseudomonas koreensis. RNAcentral's name for it is "partial 23S ribosomal RNA". It matches the Rfam family "Bacterial large subunit ribosomal RNA", at positions 108 to 1550 of the family's 2925-position model. Lineage: Bacteria; Pseudomonadati; Pseudomonadota; Gammaproteobacteria; Pseudomonadales; Pseudomonadaceae. The record is from RNAcentral.
AGAUGUCUGAAUGGGGGAACCCAGCCAUCAUAAGAUGGUUAUCUUGUACUGAAUACAUAGGUGCAAGAGGCGAACCAGGGGAACUGAAACAUCUAAGUACCCUGAGGAAAAGAAAUCAACCGAGAUUCCCUUAGUAGUGGCGAGCGAACGGGGACUAGCCCUUAAGUGGCUUUGAGAUUAGCGGAACGCUCUGGAAAGUGCGGCCAUAGUGGGUGAUAGCCCUGUACGCGAAAAUCUCUUAGUCAUGAAAUCGAGUAGGACGGAGCACGAGAAACUUUGUCUGAAUAUGGGGGGACCAUCCUCCAAGGCUAAAUACUACUGACUGACCGAUAGUGAACUAGUACCGUGAGGGAAAGGCGAAAAGAACCCCGGAGAGGGGAGUGAAAUAGAUCCUGAAACCGUAUGCGUACAAGCAGUGGGAGCAGACUUUGUUCUGUGACUGCGUACCUUUUGUAUAAUGGGUCAGCGACUUAUUUUCAGUGGCGAGCUUAACCGAAUAGGGGAGGCGUAGCGAAAGCGAGUCUUAAUAGGGCGUCUAGUCGCUGGGAAUAGACCCGAAACCGGGCGAUCUAUCCAUGGGCAGGUUGAAGGUUAGGUAACACUGACUGGAGGACCGAACCGACUACCGUUGAAAAGUUAGCGGAUGACCUGUGGAUCGGAGUGAAAGGCUAAUCAAGCUCGGAGAUAGCUGGUUCUCCUCGAAAGCUAUUUAGGUAGCGCCUCAUGUAUCACUGUAGGGGGUAGAGCACUGUUUCGGCUAGGGGGUCAUCCCGACUUACCAAACCGAUGCAAACUCCGAAUACCUACAAGUGCCGAGCAUGGGAGACACACGGCGGGUGCUAACGUCCGUCGUGAAAAGGGAAACAACCCAGACCGUCAGCUAAGGUCCCAAAGUUAUGGUUAAGUGGGAAACGAUGUGGGAAGGCUUAGACAGCUAGGAGGUUGGCUUAGAAGCAGCCACCCUUUAAAGAAAGCGUAAUAGCUCACUAGUCGAGUCGGCCUGCGCGGAAGAUGUAACGGGGCUCAAACCAUACACCGAAGCUACGGGUAUCAUCUUCGGAUGAUGCGGUAGAGGAGCGUUCUGUAAGCCUGUGAAGGUGAGUUGAGAAGCUUGCUGGAGGUAUCAGAAGUGCGAAUGCUGACAUGAGUAACGACAAUGGGUGUGAAAAACACCCACGCCGAAAGACCAAGGUUUCCUGCGCAACGUUAAUCGACGCAGGGUUAGUCGGUCCCUAAGGCGAGGCUGAAAAGCGUAGUCGAUGGAAAACAGGUUAAUAUUCCUGUACUUCUGGUUAUUGCGAUGGAGGGACGGAGAAGGCUAGGCCAGCUUGGCGUUGGUUGUCCAAGUUUAAGGUGGUAGGCUGAGAUCUUAGGUAAAUCCGGGAUCU